This 253-nucleotide ribosomal RNA is filed under the name uncultured bacterium. RNAcentral's name for it is "partial 16S ribosomal RNA". It matches the Rfam family "Bacterial small subunit ribosomal RNA", at positions 524 to 776 of the family's 1533-position model. The record is from RNAcentral.
UACGGGGGGGGCAAGCGUUGUUCGGAAUUACUGGGCGUAAAGGGCUCGUAGGUGGCCAACUAAGUCAGACGUGAAAUCCCUCGGCUCAACUGGGGAGGGUCACGCGAUACUGAUCGACUGGAAGGCAGGAGAGGGUAGUGGAAUUCCCGGUGUAGUGGUGAAAUGCGUAGAUAUCGGGAGGAACACCAGUGGCGAAGGCGACUACCUGGCCUGUUCUUGACGCUGAGGCGCGAAAGCUAGGGGAGCAAACGGG